This 193-nucleotide unclassified non-coding RNA is filed under the name uncultured Ascomycota. Its description in RNAcentral is "sequence contains ITS1". Lineage: Eukaryota; Fungi; Ascomycota. The record is from RNAcentral.
CAGAGCUUCGAAGCCUAAGGAAAAGCAGCCGAAAGGUGAACUAUCCUUAGGAUUGAGAUCUCCACCCUUUGUUUACAUUACCUUUGUUGCUUUAGCAGGCCCGCUCUCGGGCCGCCGGCUUAGGCUGGCCAGUGCCUGCUAGAGGACCUAAAACUCUUGUUAAUAAUAUUGUCUGAGUACUAUAUAAUAGUUA